This 253-nucleotide ribosomal RNA is filed under the name uncultured bacterium. RNAcentral describes it as "partial 16S ribosomal RNA". It matches the Rfam family "Bacterial small subunit ribosomal RNA", at positions 524 to 776 of the family's 1533-position model. The record is from RNAcentral.
GACGGAGGGUGCAAGCGUUGUUCGGAAUUACUGGGCGUAAAGCGCGUGUAGGCGGCUCGCUAAGUCUGAUGUGAAAUCCCGGGGCUCACCCCCGGAAGUGCAUUGGAAACUGGCGAGCUCGAGUCCCGGGGAGGAGGGUGGAAUUCCUGGUGUAGCGGUGAAAUGCGUAGAUAUCAGGAGGAACACCGGUGGCGAAGGCGGCCCUCUGGACGGUGACUGACGCUGAGACGCGAAAGCGUGGGGAGCAAACAGG